This 339-nucleotide ribosomal RNA is filed under the name Klebsiella pneumoniae. RNAcentral's name for it is "bacterial SSU rRNA". It matches the Rfam family "Bacterial small subunit ribosomal RNA", at positions 771 to 1109 of the family's 1533-position model. Lineage: Bacteria; Pseudomonadati; Pseudomonadota; Gammaproteobacteria; Enterobacterales; Enterobacteriaceae. The record is from RNAcentral.
AACAGGAUUAGAUACCCUGGUAGUCCACGCCGUAAACGAUGUCGAUUUGGAGGUUGUGCCCUUGAGGCGUGGCUUCCGGAGCUAACGCGUUAAAUCGACCGCCUGGGGAGUACGGCCGCAAGGUUAAAACUCAAAUGAAUUGACGGGGGCCCGCACAAGCGGUGGAGCAUGUGGUUUAAUUCGAUGCAACGCGAAGAACCUUACCUGGUCUUGACAUCCACAGAACUUAGCAGAGAUGCUUUGGUGCCUUCGGGAACUGUGAGACAGGUGCUGCAUGGCUGUCGUCAGCUCGUGUUGUGAAAUGUUGGGUUAAGUCCCGCAACGAGCGCAACCUUAUCC